This 506-nucleotide ribosomal RNA is filed under the name Cytobacillus oceanisediminis. RNAcentral's name for it is "bacterial SSU rRNA". It matches the Rfam family "Bacterial small subunit ribosomal RNA", at positions 34 to 524 of the family's 1533-position model. The record is from RNAcentral. Lineage: Bacteria; Bacillati; Bacillota; Bacilli; Caryophanales; Bacillaceae.
CGGGGGGGGCGUGGCCUAUACAUGCAGUCGAGCGGACGGAUGGGAGCUUGCUCCCUGAAGUCAGCGGCGGACGGGUGAGUAACACGUGGGCAACCUGCCUGUAAGACUGGGAUAACUCCGGGAAACCGGGGCUAAUACCGGAUAACUCUUUUCCUCACAUGAGGAAAAGCUGAAAGAUGGUUUCGGCUAUCACUUACAGAUGGGCCCGCGGCGCAUUAGCUAGUUGGUGAGGUAACGGCUCACCAAGGCCACGAUGCGUAGCCGACCUGAGAGGGUGAUCGGCCACACUGGGACUGAGACACGGCCCAGACUCCUACGGGAGGCAGCAGUAGGGAAUCUUCCGCAAUGGACGAAAGUCUGACGGAGCAACGCCGCGUGAGUGAUGAAGGUUUUCGGAUCGUAAAACUCUGUUGUCAGGGAAGAACAAGUACCGGAGUAACUGCCGGUACCUUGACGGUACCUGACCAGAAAGCCACGGCUAACUACGUGCCAGCAGCCGCGGUAAU